This is a long non-coding RNA of Triplophysa dalaica, 465 nucleotides long. RefSeq lists it as uncharacterized. The record is from RefSeq and is a predicted model, not a curated record. Lineage: Eukaryota; Metazoa; Chordata; Actinopteri; Cypriniformes; Nemacheilidae. The transcript has 4 exons.
UUUGCGCCGCUGGUUGGCGCCGCUAGGGGUGUUCGAUUCCGUAGUUCUUGGAGUCGACUCCGACUCUCGACUCAUUCUUUUGGAGUCGAUAGAAUCGACACUUCGACUCCAUUUACUGGCAUUCAAACCAAACCAGUCUGCUUCUUUCUGGUCCUAAACCGAUGUGGUUUUCCAAGCGCACGCAUCGGGAGACGGCCCUGGUCUAACCAGCUACUUAUGGAAACCAGAUUACACAUGCAUUCUGUUGCAGCCUGUCUGAGCUGAUCGUGAUCCUCAAACAUGUAGUUCUCAAUCUCAGGAAGGGCUUUCUCUUUCAGGAUUUUCACACUGUGGAAAAAGAGGCCGCAAGAUUUGUGAGACCCAGAAGCGCUUCGAAGUUUUCCAUGCCGUCUCGAUCUGUGCCUAGCAAGGACACCAGUGGUCUCACAACUUCAUACACCUGUCAUCAAAAAAAUGGAUUACAGC